Molecule: long non-coding RNA, 398 nt
Filed under: Homo sapiens (human)
Lineage: Eukaryota; Metazoa; Chordata; Mammalia; Primates; Hominidae
Description: HSALNT0193580
Source: RNAcentral
GAUCUCGAUAAACUAGUGACAAACAGCAGAAAAAGCCAGAAAGGGGAUUUUUUUAAAGUCCAGUGGAUUUGAUGAUUCAAAGACAUGAGGGCUGCUAGUAUUUCAGCAGAAUAGAGUAAGUGGGUACAAACUAAAGUGAAGAAAAUCAUAUUUUACUUUUAUUUGGAGGAGGAUGCAGGAUUGUGUGGAUAGAGUCCAAAAGAUGGAGAGAGAAUAAAUUCUACAUACUUGCUCUUUUCUGUUGCCUGCAACUGGAUAAACAGUAUGUGUCUACAAAAGUAAAGUGUGGAGAACUGAGGAAAUGAUCCAGAGAAUUCAGCUCCCAGUUCAACGUUUGCCUCAGCCUGUUCAUUUGUUCAACCAGAAAACUUUAUAAAACGAAAUUCCUCCUGCAUAGG